CUUUAAAAGCAUGGCAACUUCGUGCCGAUCCCGUCUGAUCCCGGAAGCUAAGCAGGGUCGGGCCUGGUUAGUAGUUGGAUGGGAGACCCCCUAGGAAGACCAGGUGCUGUAGGCU
RNAcentral lists this ribosomal RNA (115 nucleotides) under Pteropus alecto (black flying fox). Lineage: Eukaryota; Metazoa; Chordata; Mammalia; Chiroptera; Pteropodidae. The record is from RNAcentral.